RNAcentral lists this long non-coding RNA (1069 nucleotides) under Zonotrichia albicollis (white-throated sparrow). RNAcentral describes it as "lncRNA (ENSZALG00000011782.1)". The record is from RNAcentral. Lineage: Eukaryota; Metazoa; Chordata; Aves; Passeriformes; Passerellidae.
CCAGGAAGCAAGUAGAGGGACAGUGGACUGAGCAGGACUCCCAAGGAGUGGAGCAGGAUGUUGAUUCAGAACAAGUCUGCACCCCUCCCUGGGACCCUCUUUUGCAAUUACACCUUUCUUGUCCUAACAGAACAUUUGUGACAAAGCAUGUUUGUGUCUGGUCCUUCACGGAGGCUGAAAGGAUGGUAAGACACAGUGAGCAAAAAAGGGUUAAUAGGGCUCAGAGCUCCUGAGCCUGUCAAAAGACAGCAGAAAUCUCACAGGAAAGGUAUCUGCUAUAUCUCAGCAUCCUGAGCCACUCAAGAAACCCCAGAGGAGCUUCACUGAUUUGGCAAAAAGGGUUGAUAAAAUGCAGCAAGGCACAUUAGGAUUGGAAUGCAGUGCUUGGCUCUGGAGAUGGGGAAAGGAGUCACAGUAAAUAUAUUUUCAGACACACAUUGUCUUUCUCUCUCUUUGUCUAAUGAUUCAAGCAGUCACUACCCUGGAAGUGGAACAUGAUCUCAGCAUCAUGUCAAGCCAUCUCCUACCCUCAGCAUGCAGGCAUGACAAAGAAUACGUGUGUGACACUCAGAGAUUCCUUCAGGGUCUCACCUCUUGUUACCAGUGGUGAUGCUGCUUACUGCUGCUUCUCCUCUUCUCUAAGCCUCCCUUGUCACUUCGUUCUUUCCCAGGCAGCACUUUUUGUGUGUCAAUUCAAUUAUUUCGACAGCCAUUGUGUGCCGUCCCCAGCUGAGCCCCCCCAAGCUAUCCCUGCAAGCCCUUUCUGCUCUGGGACCUGUCACCCAGCAAGGGAUUCACAGCCAACUACUCAGCUGCAGCAUCUUCUGAAUACAUAAAAGAUCUUCUGUGAUAUCUUUGUAAUCACAUUCUUCACGCCUUUCAGAAGCUUUGACUGUAAAAUACAGUGGAGCAGGUAUUUUCUUUUUGGCCAUUUUCCAGCUAAACUGCCUUCCACAAAUAGAGAUAUAACUGUUUACUUGUCUACAUGACUUUUUAAUUGAGAAGUUUUACUAACCACCAUAACGGAUGUACCAAAUAAAUUUUGACCUAAAGUUUGGGAAGAACUACA